Molecule: long non-coding RNA, 589 nt
Organism: Notolabrus celidotus (New Zealand spotty)
Lineage: Eukaryota; Metazoa; Chordata; Actinopteri; Labriformes; Labridae
Exons: 4
Source: RefSeq, a predicted model, not a curated record
GUGACAUAACAAUAGUAACAUUCUACUGAAGUUUAUAAGACAGUCAGAAAAACUAGAUUUAAAUCAUUGCAACUCAAGACUCCAGCCAGUGAGCCACAGUCGUAGUGAGAGCCAAACACUUGUGUAAAACCACAAAAUCUGCAAUAUUGAGAGGUAUUUCAAGCCACAUUUGUGACCUAAGCCUUCAGUGAACUGAGUUGGCAAAGAGUCCUGAUACCACCAGAUACUUCUUGUAGAAAAUUCCGAGACCACAAUCUGCCACAAGAAAACCAUGUCUGCCUUCGGGGAUUUUUUGAGCCCUCUGAAGCAGUUACGCUUUUUGAUCUAGACAGCUCAUGGUCGAUCCCUGCUCCUGCCUUGGUGUACGAAACACUGAGACCUGAAGACAUUAUGGAACAAAGUCAUUAUCAGGCCAAUGCAAACCAGGAACAGUUGCUGUCCCAUCAGCUGACAGUAGAUAAUGCUGCAACAGUAUCCCCAGCUGCCAGUCAGCCUGUGAGUGCUGCUGCUCCUCAACAAUUCGUCAAUGGACUGCAGAUAAUCUCUGAAGAGCUCAUGAAGCAGCUGCAGCCUGUUGGAGAGUAGCAAG